Molecule: long non-coding RNA, 1986 nt
Organism: Carassius auratus (goldfish)
Lineage: Eukaryota; Metazoa; Chordata; Actinopteri; Cypriniformes; Cyprinidae
Exons: 4
Source: RefSeq, a predicted model, not a curated record
UGUAUUGGUUUACCUGCAUGUCAGUAUGACCCUUUAUCAACAUCAAAGAACUGUAGACAUGUUUAUAAAUCCUCUAAAAUAAAUCCUCUGAUUACAAGUACAAAAUUUUUCUGGAAUCUGAUUACGUAAUCCAGAUAACAUGUAACUGGUAAUUACCCAGCACUGGUUACAGGGCAGAUAAGAGUUUGUCGUUAGCUUGUUGCUAGGCUAACAGUGUAAUACUUUGGCUGCGUCUGAAAUCUUAGGCAGCUUACUUGAUGCUUCGCUGCCUUAUCCGGCAAUGACUUUACAGACAGUGUUUGCACACAAAGGUACCUCACAAAACUGAUUUCAUUUACGAAGCAGCAUGGUUGUUUAAUUAUUGACAACAAAAUAGUGAUAGCUUUGAUGAUAACUUAGUAUAGUAUAGUAUAGAAAUAACACUUAAGGAAAAACCUACAUUCACACAAAAAUCUUUUUUCAUUUUUUUUUUUUUUUUCUAGUUCAACUGUCAUGGAAUUGAAUGCACAGGAUAUCAGGAAGUGAAGGAUAAAUCUGGGCUGCCUUCUAAUAUGAAUCAAAUCAAGGCAUCUCAGGAGACAGGAAGUGAAGGUUCUCCACUGACUUCUAUCAUAAAAAAUGGCAAUUCAUUUGGAACUAUUUCAGGCCUUUCCUGUUGCUUCGUGUCUUUUGUAAUACUUUUAACUAACAAUGGAUGUUCCUUAAUGACCUCAUCCUCCAGGAAGUGACAUCAGCGCAAACUUUAUGAUUUCGAUGGAAGCAGCAACUCGAAGCUAAUUAUCAAACGCCCGCGCCCCCUAAAGUGAAGCUUUCCCUAGAGUGCCACAGAUUGCUGGCAUUUAUUUCGGAUGUCACAGAGUGAGCAUGUAGGUGGAGAGACACCGUCAGUAUGAACACACAUGGGAGGACACUGCGAUUAUAGCAGUUCCUUUUUGAAAAUAUUAGCUACUUCUUCAUCCGCACUCUAUUAUCACAAUUACAUAUCAUAUUUCCUCCAGGACCCGAUGGCUUCGUGAACGAGAGCUCCUGAAUUCCUCAGUGAAGAAUUUCAAACAACUUGUUUUGAGAAUGUUAAAUGCUAUUGUUGGGCCCAAGAGCUUCAGCGAUGAUUUCCACUCACAGUCACGGCUUAUUGUUUUCAAAAGCAUACCAGGGAGAGGAUGCAUUUUUUAUUUGGUUGUGUGCGCGUCGUGAAUGAGCGUGUUAAAUAUUUAAUCAGGUGGACGCGGUCUGGAGGCCGGGAGUGGAGGUUUGGCUGGUGCCUGUCGUCAUGGCUCCGUACGAGAAUGACGACCCUAACGAGGAGUUCUGACCCUAGAUAGCCUGCAGUGCCGGCUGGUCGUGUUGGCUUUAAACACAGCGCCUGUCCACUCAUGGUUCCUCUUUAAUUAAGGUCUCAAUGGGGUUUUUUAAACAUUACUGAUUGUAGAGAGCAACAAGGAAUGUCCUCAUGCAGGGAGAUCUCCGAUCCAUUUUGUAUCCCUUUGACCUUACAGAGAGCAAGGGGUUUGGAGAAUGCAAUUCAUAAGUCGUCAGGUUUUUUUUUUUUUUUUUCUUAAAGAAAUACACUAAAUUGAUCAAAUAACACUAAAGACAUUUAUUAUAAAAUUGAAAUAAAAAUGUAAAACUUGUAAUUUUCCAAAAACAUUUUUUUCCCAAACAGACUAAGGCACUACUCAGUGCUUCUAUAGUGACAACAUCAAAGACACAAUAAUCUUACUGAUGUACAGCUCAACCAUACAAACCUUUUCAGCUCUGCUCAUCUCCCACAAUGCCUUGCAUCAUCAUCAGGUGUCUGACUAGCACGCAUCGAGGUUGAAGGGCACGUUACCAAUUUCUCUCUUUUUAGACGUAGAGCUCGCUGGCUUUUUUGUGCUUUCAACUUUCAAGUUUCCUGUGAACUUCACAUCAAACGGCUGAAGCCCUGUGCACUGGCUUUGAAGUGCUGGGGAGAGCUUAGCUCUUGUGCUGGCGCUGGUAAAAAGC